AACGAACGCUGGCGGCGCGCCUAAUACAUGCAAGUCGAGCGAGAAGACGUAGCAAUACGUUUGUAAAGCGGCGAACGGGUGAGGAAUACAUGGGUAACCUACCCUCGAGUGGGGAAUAACUAGCCGAAAGGUUAGCUAAUACCGCGUACGCUCCUUGGACUUCGGUUCAGGGAGGAAAGCGAUACCGUGGGUAUCGCGCUCUUGGAUGGGCUCAUGUCCUAUCAGCUUGUUGGUGAGGAACGGCUCACCAAGGCUUCGACGGGUAGCUGGUCUGAGAGGACGAUCAGCCACACUGGCACUGCGACACGGGCC
RNAcentral lists this ribosomal RNA (312 nucleotides) under uncultured bacterium. Its description in RNAcentral is "bacterial SSU rRNA". It matches the Rfam family "Bacterial small subunit ribosomal RNA", at positions 29 to 332 of the family's 1533-position model. The record is from RNAcentral.